This 136-nucleotide ribosomal RNA is filed under the name Staphylococcus epidermidis. RNAcentral describes it as "partial 16S ribosomal RNA". It matches the Rfam family "Bacterial small subunit ribosomal RNA", at positions 1 to 130 of the family's 1533-position model. Lineage: Bacteria; Bacillati; Bacillota; Bacilli; Caryophanales; Staphylococcaceae. The record is from RNAcentral.
UUUUAUGGAGAGUUUGAUCCUGGCUCAGGAUGAACGCUGGCGGCGUGCCUAAUACAUGCAAGUCGAGCGAACAGACGAGGAGCUUGCUCCUCUGACGUUAGCGGCGGACGGGUGAGUAACACGUGGAUAACCUACC